GGAACCUUGCCCAUACACAGACUUUACAGCUCAAGCCUCCAGAAUCCAUGUGAAUACUCCUGCAGAACGACAGAUACAGACCAAUGAGGAACAUGGGGUCACCAUAGAAAAUGCUCACUACGCCUAUAAUGAACCUGAAAUCAUAAGAAACAGACCUCUUCGCCAGUCCUGCCAGCAUGUGUAUGUGUACAGUGAGAUACCCUAGUGCCCAGUUUCUCACCCUGAUAUUCUUUUCAGUGGGAUAUGUACAGAUAUUGUACACAAAUGAAGAUGUGGCUGUAAAUGUUGCCCUAUUGUUGUUCCAUAGAUAAGUGAUCAUUCACCCCAACUUUUACCAUCUCUAGCCGUCAGAAUGUUACCCCAACCAAUGCAUUAGACAACCGCUACGGGGCAGUCUCCCAGUUUAAGAAUCAGUAACGAAUAUCUAAAGGUGAAUUUCCCUGCAUGUCAGGUUCAUAUUAAAGGAGAAGGAAAGGUAAAAACUAAGUAAGCUUGUAGGUAGGAGGUGGGUAAUAAUUCCUUAAAGGGACAAUGCCCUUACUUUUACUCGGUAGUCCAACUCUGGUUAGAAAAGAACAGGUAGACUCUUUCUCAUGCAAAUAACUUUUUAUUCACAACCGAUAGUCACUGUUGCAUUCAGACAGGCAGGCAAUUGAGCACUUUAAAUGGUACAUACAAUUCUUUCUCCUUCCCAGGCCAGUUGCACAGCUUAGGUAGGGGUCCGGUACUCUGCAGUGAUACCCCUCCACUCUUCCCGAAUAGGACUUCUUAUCUACGGAUUCUGGCCAGAAACCUUUUACAUUCUUCCUAACUGUUCCUAUACUGGCACUGUAUUCCCUGACUUACAGGCAACCCGUUGGAACCUGGUUCUGCUUUCUUCUGGUUGGGGCGGAGGCUGUAUUUCUAUCUACCCUGACUGCCUCGUACAUGUAAUGCUCACUCUUACACCCCUCUAACCUAUGCUAGCUAUUCCUUACUACUGCCCACGUCUUAACUCACCUCCUGUCGAUAGAUGUUAACUCGACCACACUCUCCUGUCAAAGACCAUGAACCUGGAUGUGGCUGCUCCUUUUAUACCUUCCUACCUGCACUGCUCUCUGGUGGCCAGUAGUCUAAAUUACACUUAGCUAUUUUAAUUAUACCCAAGUUACUACACUACAAACAAAGCAAUAACACUUUUAUAACACAACAAAUUUACCAGAACUCAAAUUAAGCAUACAAAUUCCUCCUCCUGCACCAACAUUUUCCAUAUCCUUACAAGCUUUAUCAGAAAGGUCUAUGUAAAUACAGCAAUAAUCACUCACAGAGUCCUAUCAAAAGAAACACAGGAUUUCUUGUCUCUGUUUUUGUACAUGAACAUGAUGUUCUGGUGUCUGACUUCCUCUCUCAGAAACAGCCUUACUUCCCUUGGCCAGAGUCUGCGCAGUUCUCUCCUCU
Molecule: long non-coding RNA, 1437 nt
Organism: Xenopus tropicalis (tropical clawed frog)
Lineage: Eukaryota; Metazoa; Chordata; Amphibia; Anura; Pipidae
Exons: 3
Source: RefSeq, a predicted model, not a curated record